UUAAAAUGAUAAUAAAUAAUCUAUUAAUGAGAUUAAAUAGUAACUUACAACAUGACAUGAGAUAAAUUAACUAAUAAUAACUAUUAGUGUUAGAUUAGUACUACAAAUUACUAAUAGUUAUAUCACAUACAUGCAUGCAUCAUUUUUUCAAAUAUGGAAUAUUUAACCUGAUGAAAUUACGAAACUAUCAUAUCAUCAUAUCAUAUCAUAUCAUUCAAAAUGAAACUAAAUUUCCGAGAUAUCUAUCUAUCUAUCUAUUGUAGAUAGCCAAAGAAAUAUGUGGCAGGCAGUGCGUUAAUGACUUCAAAUAUUUUCUCAUGCUACCUACCUGUUCUAACACCACCUUAAUAUAACCAACGCCAACAUAGCUAAGAAAACCAAAGCCAGAAUACCGGUUACCGCUCCUACCGGUAUCCUCCAAUUCUUUCUCUCCCUCCUCUUUCUCUUCAUUUCCACAUACUUUCUAUACCCUUCUUUCUCCUCCCCUUUCUUUCCUUUCCUUCUCUUCCCACUUUCCACCGCCUCCAGCAGAAUCCCCAAACUAUCCCUCCCACUCAAGCACUUGCUAUCCAUAUCAUGAAUUUGCAAAUUUACCGUCUUCAACUCCAAUUCUCCUCCUUCCUUCCACUCGAGCAUAACCGCUAUUCUCAACUCCACCAACUUCGACAUACCGGCCCGGCAACCGCCGACCGCCAAAGACAAGGAAAGGAAAGGAAGUUUUGCACGUUAGGACAUACUUGUUGACAAAUACUAGUACUACUCCAUUUAAGUUGUUUAUUAGGAUUUUGUCUUCUUUUAGUAAAUCAUGUGAUUGAUUUUUGACGACAUUUAUAGUAGCAGCCGUUCGUCACAUGGAAUUAAGAUUGGAUAAUUAAUGGAUGAGACACCAAAAGGAUAACUCUUUUUUUUAUCUUUAAAAAAAUACUCGAUAUAAUUAAGUCAUCUAGUGAAUUUUUUUGUAUAUAAUAAAUAAAAAUUAAAUAUGAAACUUGUAACUCUGUAAUAUCUAUCAGGCUAAAACAUCUUUACUGUGCAUAAGGCAAGGAUCCCUUCAAUUUUUCCCUAGUUCCCUUUCCCCCAAGUUUUAAUUUUAAUUAGAAUAUUAGAUCAUAAAAUAGUGACUACCAAGGCUUGUAAAUUAAAG
Molecule: long non-coding RNA, 1144 nt
Filed under: Panax ginseng (ginseng)
Lineage: Eukaryota; Viridiplantae; Streptophyta; Magnoliopsida; Apiales; Araliaceae
Description: long non-coding RNA (PGIN_LNC004497)
Source: RNAcentral